Molecule: RNA transcript, 2061 nt
Organism: Sander lucioperca (pikeperch)
Lineage: Eukaryota; Metazoa; Chordata; Actinopteri; Perciformes; Percidae
Gene: mospd2
Gene name: motile sperm domain containing 2
Exons: 15
Source: RefSeq, a predicted model, not a curated record
AGUAGUCAUAUUGAAAAGAAUCAGCUGUAUUAAUGAUUAGAUAAACGCUUUUCUUGUGACCUUGUUCAACACUCCCUCUGCUAUUUCAGUUCAAACAACACAGCGGAGCGGAGAGGUGUGGCCACGGCUGAAGCCAAAAUGGCGACGACAGGACCUCAGUUUCACACUUCGCACUGAUUCACUCACUUAGCUAGCUGACUAGCUAGCUCAACAAGGAACUACCACAGAGACGGGAAACCCGGCCGGGGACAGUUAAAUAUGGCUGAACUUGAGCAGCACGAAGGAGAACAGGACAUUGAGAAGAAAAUUGAGGAGACGAGACAGAGAUUCAAGAAUGAGUUCCUCCAAGAUUCAAUAGAUAAAUAUGACUCCAGAGAUGUGGAAAGGCUUGAAAAAGAUGCUGCUCUGGUGGAGGGCUACCUCCAAUGGAGACUCUAUGUUAUAGAUGAUGCCUUGAAAAUGAUUGAUGAAAGUCUUCAGUGGAGAAAGGAAUAUGGUCUGAAUGAUCUCACUGAGAGCUCCAUUCCCAAAUGGAUGUUCGAGACUGGUGCUCUCUACCUCCACGGCUAUGACAAAGAAGGCAACAAGCUCUUCUGGUUCAAAGUAAAGCUACACGUCAAGGAUGCAAAAACAAUCACGGACAAGAAGAAGUACGUUGCCUUCUGGCUGGAGCGGUAUGCGAAGAAAGAACCUGGGAUGCCACUCACUGUUGUGUUUGACAUGACAGAGUCUGGCCUCAGUAAUAUCGACAUGGAGUUUGUGAAGUACGUUAUUAAUUGCUUCAAAGUAUAUUAUCCAAAGUUUUUAUCCAAAAUGAUCAUUGUGGAUAUGCCUUGGAUCAUGAAUGCUGCCUGGAAGAUAGUGAGGUCGUGGUUGGGUCCCGAGGCAAUCAGCAAGCUCAAGUUUGCAUCCAAAUCUGAGGUCCAGGGAUUCAUAGGCCCCGAGUACUUGCCCCCUCACAUGGGUGGAACGGACCCCUUCAAGUACAGCUACCCGCCUCUUCCUGAUGACGAUUUCCAAACACCCAUCUGUGAAAACGGACCAAUUGUUAGUGAGGACGAGACGGAGAGCAAAGAGGGUGAAAUGGAGGGCAAAGAUGCCCUCGAGUCCAGCUUCAACUCUGAGGUUGCGGUAAAGCCAAAAAAGGUAAAUUUCCUGGAAGACAGUUUGAGGGCAGAGGACAAUGAAAAAGGAGACACAAGCAGCAGGACCAAAGGAGCCAGGAAGCCACUGACCACCUUCAAAGGCCCUCUGCUAGAUGUUAGCCCCGCAGAGGAACUCAGCUUUGGUUCUGGAGAGACAGAGAAAAAAAGCCUCAUUAUCCUGAGCAAUAUAACCAAAAAUCAAGUAGCCUUUAAGGUACGGACCACAGCACCUGAGAAGUACAGAGUGAAGCCCAGCAGCAGCAGCUGUGACCCAGGAGCUUCAGUAGAUAUAGUGGUGUCUUUACAUGGAGGUUCUCAAGCCUCUCCACAGGACAGAUUUUUGGUCAUGGCUGCUGAGAUGGACAAUGCUGGAUCACAAGAACUUUCACAGUUCUGGAAAGAAGUACCAAAAAUCAAGGUCAUGGAACACAGAUUGCGCUGUCAUGUUCUGGAGAGCAUUAAACCACAAACAGUGACUCUUCUCAGAGACAGCCCUGUGGAGACAGGGACCAACGGGCAGCAGGAAUUAAACUCAGCGGUGAGUUCUGGUGGAAGAGAAGCCUUUUUACAAUACUCAUUAUCUUUAAGUCACAAUAUAUUUGUUCAUUCAGAUACUUUUGACCACCAUUAUAGAUUUUGUAGACUGCCAUCACGAUUUUAAAACACAUUGUUUAUAACAUGUAGGCUGAGUAUAUGUCGGUUUGUAAUUUUGGGUUGUAUUACUAUAAAUGUCUAGUAUAACAAGUUAACUGGUUUAUUACUUUCUUAAAUGUUUAGUUUGUUUAAAAGAGUUAGAUAAGAAAACCCACGUUUGUGGGUUAACUAUGGAGCUGGAACAGAGAGGCAGCUAAACUAGCUUAGCAUAAAGACUGGAAACGGGAGGGAACCCUUAGCCUGGCUCAGUCAAUAAAAAAAA